UGGGGAAUAUUGCGCAAUGGGCGAAAGCCUGACGCAGCUAUGCCGCGUGUGUGAUGAAGGCCUUCGGGUUGUAAAGCACUGUCGGGAGGGACGAAAUUUGACGGUACCUCGCAAGAAAGCGCCGGCUAACUCCGUGCCAGCAGCCGCGGUAAUACGGAGGGCGCAAGCGUUGCUCGGAAUCACUGGGCGUAAAGCGAACGCAGGCGGACAUUUAAGUCGGAUGUGAAAGCCCUGGGCUCAACCCGGGAACUGCAUUCGAAACUGGAUGUCUUGAGUUCGAGAGAGGGUGGUGGAAUUCCUGGUGUAGAGGUGAAAUUCGUUGAUAUCAGGAGGAACAUCGGCGGCGAAGGCGGCCACCUGGCUCGAUACUGACGCUCAUGUUCGAAAGCGUGGGGAGCAAACAGGAUUAGAUACCCCCGUAGUCC
RNAcentral lists this ribosomal RNA (425 nucleotides) under uncultured prokaryote. RNAcentral describes it as "bacterial SSU rRNA". It matches the Rfam family "Bacterial small subunit ribosomal RNA", at positions 355 to 796 of the family's 1533-position model. The record is from RNAcentral.